UUGCAUGUGGACAUAUCUGCCCCUCUUUUCUUUGGGAGUAGGAAUGUAUCCAUAACAUGCUACAUUGAUCAAGGAGUUAUCAGGGCUACCAACCUUACAGUCCAGGUUGAGUAGUAGUAUAUUUCUCCUACAUUA
This is a small nucleolar RNA of Peromyscus maniculatus bairdii (prairie deer mouse), 135 nucleotides long. Ensembl annotates it as predicted gene, 24507. The record is from Ensembl. Lineage: Eukaryota; Metazoa; Chordata; Mammalia; Rodentia; Cricetidae.